RNAcentral lists this transfer RNA (75 nucleotides) under Candidatus Kerfeldbacteria bacterium CG_4_10_14_0_8_um_filter_42_10. RNAcentral's name for it is "tRNA-Asn". It matches the Rfam family "tRNA". From Rfam's summary of the family: Transfer RNA (tRNA) molecules are approximately 80 nucleotides in length. Their secondary structure includes four short double-helical elements and three loops (D, anti-codon, and T loops). Further hydrogen bonds mediate the characteristic L-shaped molecular structure. tRNAs have two regions of fundamental functional importance: the anti-codon, which is responsible for specific mRNA codon recognition, and the 3' end, to which the tRNAs corresponding amino acid is attached (by aminoacyl-tRNA synthetases). tRNAs cope with the degeneracy of the genetic code in two manners: having more than one tRNA (with a specific anti-codon) for a particular amino acid; and 'wobble' base-pairing, i.e. permitting non-standard base-pairing at the 3rd anti-codon position. Lineage: Bacteria; Candidatus Kerfeldiibacteriota. The record is from RNAcentral.
UCCUGAGUAGCUCAAUGGUAGAGCAACCGGCUGUUAACCGGUAGGUUCUCGGUUCGAGCCCGAGCUCAGGAGCCA